This 253-nucleotide ribosomal RNA is filed under the name uncultured bacterium. RNAcentral's name for it is "partial 16S ribosomal RNA". It matches the Rfam family "Archaeal small subunit ribosomal RNA", at positions 474 to 727 of the family's 1478-position model. The record is from RNAcentral.
UACCAGCACCCCGAGUGGUCGGGACGUUUAUUGGGCCUAAAGCGUCCGUAGCCGGUUCUACAAGUCUUCCGUUAAAUCCACCUGCUCAACAGAUGGGCUGCGGAAGAUACUAUGGAGCUAGGAGGCGGGAGAGGCAAGCGGUACUCGAUGGGUAGGGGUAAAAUCCGUUGAUCCAUUGAAGACCACCAGUGGCGAAGGCGGCCUGCCAGAACGCGCUCGACGGUGAGGGAUGAAAGCUGGGGGAGCAAACCGG